This 672-nucleotide ribosomal RNA is filed under the name uncultured bacterium. RNAcentral's name for it is "bacterial SSU rRNA". It matches the Rfam family "Bacterial small subunit ribosomal RNA", at positions 76 to 766 of the family's 1533-position model. The record is from RNAcentral.
GAUUUCGGUCGAGCGGAGAGUGGCAGACGGGUGAGUAACACGUAGCUAACCUGCCUUCGAGUGGGGGAUAACUGUUGGAAACGGCAGCUAAUACCCCGUACGCUUCUGGUCAGUAGCAAACCAGAAGGAAAGCUGAGGCGCUCGAAGAUGGGGCUGCGGUCCAUCAGCUAGUUGGUAGGGUAACGGCCUACCAAGGCGAAGACGGAUAGGGGGCCUGAGAGGGUGACCCCCCACACUGGCACUGAGAUACGGGCCAGACUCCUACGGGAGGCAGCAGUGAGGAAUAUUGCGCAAUGGGCGAAAGCCUGACGCAGCAACGCCGCGUGGAUGAUGAAGGCCUUCGGGUUGUAAAAUCCUUUUCUGGGGGAAGAAACGGACGGUACCCCAGGAAUAAGUGUCGGCUAACUACGUGCCAGCAGCCGCGGUAAAACGUAGGACGCAAGCGUUAUCCGGAUUUACUGGGCGUAAAGCGCGUGCAGGCGGUCUGUUAAGUUGUGCGUGAAAGCUCCCUGGCUCAACCGGGAGAGGUCGUACAAAACUGGCAGACUUGAGGGCAGCAGAGGAGCGUGGAAUUCCGGGUGUAGUGGUGAAAUGCGUAGAUAUCCGGAGGAACACCAGUGGCGAAGGCGGCGCUCUGGGCUGUACCUGACGCUAAGACGCGAAAGCAUGGGU